UGUCUCGGUGUUGCACCCUGGUUCCUGACGCACAUCCCCGAGGGUGGGGCCGCCUUUUUAUAAGAAGAAAAGUUUGGUGGUGAUUUGUCCAGUAACAAUAGGAGUUGCGUCCGUUCAUAACAUAACCUUUAAAAAGCCAUGGCCUCGGAGGAAGUUAAACUAACAAAGACUGUCCACAGCGAGGCUCUGAGCGCUCAAGUCGCAGGUACGGUACAAAGUGACUGCCGUGAGUUACCAAUUAAAGAGACAGAAGCUA
Molecule: long non-coding RNA, 256 nt
Filed under: Rattus norvegicus (Norway rat)
Lineage: Eukaryota; Metazoa; Chordata; Mammalia; Rodentia; Muridae
Description: long non-coding RNA NONRATT009835
Source: RNAcentral